UUUUCUGAUGUACCAACUCCCUAAUCAUGUUUUUGUCUUUCGGGUUGGUAUGUUAGGAGAACCUAGGCGUGCUAUGUGGGGAAGCAAAGCAGCAGCUCACAACUCCGGCCUGCAACUCCAGAUGAAGGCACCGCGACGACGCAUCAUGCUACUCCCUUGGAAGGUCGGCUCCUGGACCGUAACUUUCUCUCAACUUGUGCUCUGCUUGAUACCAGUUCCUUGUAUUUCUCCCAACUUGUGCAAAUUGUAAUAUGCAAGGCUUCCUAGUCCGUGGCCUACCUUCUGGAUGGAGCAAGGAGGGGGCAUCAUCCACACCGCGGAGCUGGUUGAGCCUUAGUGCGAACUGGAGAAGCAGGGCAUCGUCGGGGACAUCUCUCGCUUGUGCCAUGGUAAGAACAGAGCGCCACUCUCCGUCGUGCAUGUAUUGAAAUCCUGAAAUGUCAAAUACAUGUUCGCUCUCAGCUGGGAUAUUGGAUUGUACUUAGUUAUGUAACUCAUUCAUGUUUGCGCUGCUUGUUACGUGAUUACCUUUAUGUACUUGCUACCAGUAGGAUGGUCAAUACAUGCUUGUUUUGUAUCUAUUCCAGAAUAGUUUGCUUGGUCACCUGAUGCUUGAUGCAUGUAUAAUGUGACACACACAUCAGGAAAUCUGAAUAACUUUGACAUAGUUGUUCUGUUAUCUUGCACUGGGUUGAUACUUGUCAUUUUCCGUUCCCAAAUAUAUCUUAGUCUUGCUGUUACGAGAAUGCUAUAUGCAUGGUUUCUUAUUAGAUCUCAAAUUCUGCAGCUAUUUUUCAUUGUUAGGAGAAUGUUAUAUGCAUGGCUUCACUUGAUUAUAUUCCUAACUUUUCUGAUUUAUAACUCAUAGAUUUUGGCCUUCAUUCGUC
This 887-nucleotide long non-coding RNA is filed under the name Triticum aestivum (bread wheat). RNAcentral describes it as "long non-coding RNA (TAES_LNC014413)". Lineage: Eukaryota; Viridiplantae; Streptophyta; Magnoliopsida; Poales; Poaceae. The record is from RNAcentral.